ACCUCUGCUCUGCGCUUUACCCAGACUUGCUCGGCUGGGAUUGUACACCCUGUGGCGCUUGCAGACUGUUGGGGAAAUGAAAACCCCUGGAAACAUGCACUUCAUACACAGUGUGUUAUAUGGAAGACACCAAGAUCUACCAUGAACCGAGGCCUGGAAGGGAAAACUGAAUAGAGCAACUGUGGGUUCUGACAGCUCGCGGGUCGCAGGUAUGUUGUGAACGCUGACUACUGAAUCAGAUGCCUGCGCCCGUCUCUGUCUGGGCAUCAGGAACCGGCGUCAACACGAGACCUGGCCGCGGUGAAGGCUCAGUGAGGACUGCAGGACGCUGCGGCUGCCAGCUCUCCCUACGGCGCACAGGGGGCGCAGGUCGAGACAGGGCGUCCCAGCCCCCGCUCUCUCAGGAAGGCAAAGAAGGGGACCAGGCCGGCAGAGCCUCUCAGGGCAGAGCGGUGAGGAGACAGGGCCUCAGUCCUCCGGGUCCCUCCGGUGAGAGGCGGGCAGGCUCGGGUUCCGCCCCCUCCCAGGGCGGCAGUUCACAGCAUCGGCCGGCAGAGGGCAGCAGAGGCCAGCUCGUGGCAGACCAAGCCCAGGGCCUAGCGCAGAAGCGGGUCCUGGGCCUGAGUCCCGCUGGCUUCCCGGGUGCAGGCUCCACCAGGGAGAAGCAGCGGCCCUUCCUCUCUCUGGCUUGCCCUGGGGAGAGGGGCGAGAGGAGGCAAUUCCGAAAGCCCCUCAUUGUGCGGAGUGGCUUUUUCUUUCUUUUCUGCAUCACAUGCACUGAAUGCCAUUUUCCAAAGUGCUCCCAGAGGGGGCGGGCAGCCAGGUGAUUUCCCAGAAGCCGGAGGAAGAGCCACAGGACGCAAGGCCCACAUAGCUCAGGGGACUUCAGGAGGGCCACACCACUGCUGCUUACAGAACUCGGAGCUUCCUGCCUUGGCAGUCAUCCGGGGAGAAUUGUUACAGCACGGAUGCCUUAUCUGAUCUCUCCUUGGGAGCCUCCCUCCGCUCGCUCUGUGGGACUGAAGGGCUGGAGGCCUGUGCCAGUGUUAGCAAAACAUUUGGAGUCACCGAGCCUGCGACGAGAGUGGCACUGGAGCACUGGAGGUCGCAGUGCUGAGCAGGCUCUGCCUGCCUCGGCUCCCUGACCCUCAGCCAGUGUCCUCGGCUGUGAAGCAGAGGACAGACAGCCAUGGCAUGCUGUGAAUGCCCGACGUGCACCGUUGUAAUCUGUGCAGAGGCAGCAGUGAUGCCCAAGACCCCUCUGGGGCUCGGCGGGCCAGGGACUACCACUGUGUCCUUCAAGACAGUCGUCGGGACAGUCGUCAACACAUGAGCUUUGCAUGUGAGCAAGCAGAGGGGUCACUGCUCCUGCCAACGACUGAACGAGGGCCCAGUGGGCCAAGCAGAAAC
Molecule: long non-coding RNA, 1410 nt
Filed under: Heterocephalus glaber (naked mole-rat)
Lineage: Eukaryota; Metazoa; Chordata; Mammalia; Rodentia; Bathyergidae
Description: lncRNA (ENSHGLG00000040230.1)
Source: RNAcentral